UUCCUCCGGGAGGCAGCCGUGAGGAAUAUUGGUCAAUGGGCGCGCGCCUGACCCCGCCACUUCUCGUGAAUGAUGACUGCCCUACGGGUUGUAAACUUCUUUUAUAAAGGAAUAAAGUGAGGCACGUGUGCCUUUUUGUAUGUACUUUAUGAAUAAGGAUCGGCUAACUCCGUGCCAGCAGCCGCGGUAAUACGGAGGAUCCGAGCGUUAUCCGGAUUUAUUGGGUUUAAAGGGAGCGUAGAUGGGUUGUUAAGUCAGUUGUGAAAGUUUGCGGCUCAACCGUAAAAUUGCAAUUGAUACUGGCA
RNAcentral lists this ribosomal RNA (305 nucleotides) under uncultured bacterium. RNAcentral's name for it is "bacterial SSU rRNA". It matches the Rfam family "Bacterial small subunit ribosomal RNA", at positions 335 to 638 of the family's 1533-position model. The record is from RNAcentral.